AGAUUCAGUAGAAUACCACAACUACUUCAGAAAAUGCUACGACUGACGUGGACAUCUCUUCUGUGUGUCUUCACUCUAACUUCUUAGACAUAUUUACAGAGCCUCAAGUUAAUAUUUGAAUCAUGAAAUUCUGUGAGAAUUGGUCCAAGAAUCGUGCAGCCAUGUAUAGAGAAAGAUGACUUAGAUAACGAGUUCUAUUUGUCCCAAAGAAGCUCUUUCUGCUCACUGUGCAUUCCUCUGGAGUCAGCAGGUGAAGCGAUUUCACGUACCGUGUAUAGCUAGGGAGCUAGGAUUCUUAGCUGAACAAGUUAUGUGACUGACAAUGCGUCCAAGCAUAGAAACAUGAACAUAAUUUAUUUGCAAUUAGAACAACGCUCCAAGGGGACGGAUUUGUUCUCCCAGGUCGUUAAUGUUCGUUUUCAAAACUUGGCAUUCUGCUUUUCUUUAAGCAAUGACAGCCCAU
RNAcentral lists this long non-coding RNA (463 nucleotides) under Rattus norvegicus (Norway rat). Its description in RNAcentral is "long non-coding RNA NONRATT006825". The record is from RNAcentral. Lineage: Eukaryota; Metazoa; Chordata; Mammalia; Rodentia; Muridae.